Molecule: ribosomal RNA, 497 nt
Filed under: uncultured bacterium
Lineage: Bacteria
Description: partial 16S ribosomal RNA
Rfam family: Bacterial small subunit ribosomal RNA
Source: RNAcentral
GAUGAACGCUGGCGGCGUGCCUAAUACAUGCAAGUCGAGCGAACAGACGAGGAGCUUGCUCCUCUGACGUUAGCGGCGGACGGGUGAGUAACACGUGGAUAACCUACCUAUAAGACUGGGAUAACUUCGGGAAACCGGAGCUAAUACCGGAUAAUAUAUUGAACCGCAUAGUUCAAUAGUGAAAGACGGUUUUGCUGUCACUUAUAGAUGGAUCCGCGCCGCAUUAGCUAGUUGGUAAGGUAACGGCUUACCAAGGCAACGAUGCGUAGCCGACCUGAGAGGGUGAUAGGCCACACUGGAACUGAGACACGGUCCAGACUCCUACGGGAGGCAGCAGUAGGGAAUCUUCCGCAAUGGGCGAAAGCCUGACGGAGCAACGCCGCGUGAGUGAUGAAGGUCUUCGGAUCGUAAAACUCUGUUAUUAGGGAAGAACAAAUGUGUAAGUAACUAUGCACGUCUUGACGGUACCUAAUCAGAAAGCCACGGCUAACUACGUG